This 208-nucleotide non-coding RNA is filed under the name Dechloromonas denitrificans. The record is from RNAcentral. Lineage: Bacteria; Pseudomonadati; Pseudomonadota; Betaproteobacteria; Rhodocyclales; Azonexaceae.
AUACUCGCCCCCGUUUUGGGUGCCUUGCCUCACGAUCGUGGGGCGGGUGAAACGGGAAGCCGGUGACUCUGCAGACGCAGACAUUCCGGCGCAGCCCCCGCUGCUGUAAGCCUGACGACUCCACCUCACGCCACUGUGCAUCGCAUGGGAAGGUUGGUGGAGAAGAUUGAAGGCGAGCCAGAAGACCGGCCCAAAUCAAACGUAGUAC